CCCUUAGAUGUCCGGGGCCGCACGCGCGCUACACUGAAGGAAUCAGCGUGGCUUUCUCCCUGACCCGAAAGGGUUGGGAAACCCGUUGAAUCUCCUUCGUGAUAGGGAUUGGGGCUUGAAAUUGUUCCCCAUGAACGAGGAAUUCCCAGUAAGCGCGAGUCAUAAGCUCGCGUUGAUUACGUCCCUGCCCUUUGUACACACCGCCCGUCGCUACUACCGAUUGAAUGCUCAGGUGAGCCAUUCGGACCUUCAUCAUGCCGGUUUCCGGUUUUGAUGAGGGAAAGUCUUGCGAACCUUAUCAUUUAGAGGAAGGAGAAGUCGUAACA
Molecule: ribosomal RNA, 326 nt
Filed under: uncultured eukaryote
Lineage: Eukaryota
Description: partial 18S ribosomal RNA
Rfam family: Eukaryotic small subunit ribosomal RNA
Source: RNAcentral